UUAGAUAUCAUGAGGAACUCCGAUCGCGAAGGCAGCCUGCGGGAGUGUUACUGACGCUUAAGCUCGAAGGUGCGGGUAUCGAACAGGAUUAGAUACCCUGGUAGUCCGCACAGUAAACGAUGGAUGCCCGCCGUUGGCGCCCUGCGCCUGCGGCCAAGCGAAAGCAUUAAGCAUCCCACCUGGGGAGUACGCCGGCAACGGUGAAACUCAAAGGAAUUGACGGGGGCCCGCACAAGCGGAGGAACAUGUGGUUUAAUUCGAUGAUACGCGAGGAACCUUACCCGGGCUUGAAUUGCAGUCGCUGCCCACAGAGACGUGGGCUUCCCUUCGGGGCGUCUGUGAAGGUGCUGCAUGGUUGUCGUCAGCUCGUGCCGUGAGGUGUCGGCUUAAGUGCCAUAACGAGCGCAACCCCCUUUCCCAGUUGCCAUCGGGUGAUGCCGGGCACUCUGGGGACACUGCCACCGCAAGGUGCGAGGAAGGUGGGGAUGACGUCAAAUCAGCACGGCCCUUACGUCCGGGGCUACACACGUGUUACAAUGGCCGGUACAGAGGGACGGUGUAACGCAAGUUGCAUCCAAUCUUGAAAUCCGGUCCCAGUUCGGACUGGGGUCUGCAACCCGACCCCACGAAGCUGGAUUCGCUAGUAAUCGCGCAUCAGCCAUGGCGCGGUGAAUACGUUCCCGGGCCUUGUACACACCGCCCGUCAAGCCAUGAAAGCCGGGGGUGCCUGAAGUUCGUGACCGCGAGGAGC
RNAcentral lists this ribosomal RNA (751 nucleotides) under Prevotella nigrescens. RNAcentral's name for it is "bacterial SSU rRNA". It matches the Rfam family "Bacterial small subunit ribosomal RNA", at positions 690 to 1453 of the family's 1533-position model. The record is from RNAcentral. Lineage: Bacteria; Pseudomonadati; Bacteroidota; Bacteroidia; Bacteroidales; Prevotellaceae.